Molecule: ribosomal RNA, 465 nt
Filed under: Vreelandella stevensii
Lineage: Bacteria; Pseudomonadati; Pseudomonadota; Gammaproteobacteria; Oceanospirillales; Halomonadaceae
Description: partial 16S ribosomal RNA
Rfam family: Bacterial small subunit ribosomal RNA
Source: RNAcentral
CCUACGGGGGGCAGCAGUGGGGAAUAUUGGACAAUGGGCGAAAGCCUGAUCCAGCCAUGCCGCGUGUGUGAAGAAGGCCUUCGGGUUGUAAAGCACUUUCAGUGGGGAAGAAAGCCUUGGGGCUAAUACCCUCGAGGAAGGACAUCACCCACAGAAGAAGCACCGGCUAACUCCGUGCCAGCAGCCGCGGUAAUACGGAGGGUGCGAGCGUUAAUCGGAAUUACUGGGCGUAAAGCGCGCGUAGGCGGUCUGAUAAGCCGGUUGUGAAAGCCCCGGGCUCAACCUGGGAACGGCAUCCGGAACUGUCAGGCUAGAGUGCAGGAGAGGAAGGUAGAAUUCCCGGUGUAGCGGUGAAAUGCGUAGAGAUCGGGAGGAAUACCAGUGGCGAAGGCGGCCUUCUGGACUGACACUGACGCUGAGGUGCGAAAGCGUGGGUAGCAAACAGGAUUAGAUACCCCCGUAGUC